CUAAGACCAUCCCAAUUUCUCAUGCGGCCCCUUGGGAAAAUUAAUUGCCCACCCCUGGUUAAGACGAUAUAGCAAGCAGAACACUUUAUAGUAUAGGUAGCCUAUCGGUUAGCGCACAUACAUAAACUGAACAACGACGACCAAACUCAAGGGGACUCACACUAGCCGUUGCCUGUGAAACGCUCGAUCCUUACUUCAUUCAAAUGAUACACCUGUGAAUUGGUACUUGACUUCUUAUCGCCUACGGUUUUUUUGAAGUGAAGUUUACUAUGAUGGGGAUGUCAGUGCGAUGUAUGAAAAUGUUCAGGCAUACUCGAGCAUAAAAGCUAUUUACAAACUUAAUUGUGUGUUUAGAUGAGGUUCGUACUACUUUCUAAACUAACAUUCAACCCUCAAAGAAAAAAAAAAAACCAAACCAAUAUCUAAAUGAAUAUCUACUUUAGAACGAAAUCUUAGAAUAUACAUUAAAAUUUAAAUGUCACUUAUUAUUUUAUUCUUAUUUUCAGUUGUUUGAGUACAAAUCCAUGUUGAAUUGAGUAACUGGUAAUUAACCGACUUCAAUAUGGGGCUUCAUUUCAGAACCUUUGCCUACUUUCAAACAUAGCGAAAUAUCUGCUUGACGUUUUCAGCUGUUUAAGGGAAGUAAUCUACAGUGGAACAAAUCCUAAAGGUUCCAGAAGUUACCCCCCUUAUAUACAAAAGCGUAUACAAAGCGAUGUGUUCUGAGAUGCUACCCAUCGGUGGUACAUAUCUGUACGAACCGGUCCGGGCGGCAGGGUGCGGGAUAUGGUCAAAUUCGAACUCACCGCCGAGUCUGAGUAUGUUUCAAAAGUCAAAAACUUUCCUAAAAGAUGAACGCAUUUCUCCCAUACAACAUCAAGAAAAAAUGUUCCUCCAGCGACAAGAUUAUAUUUUUAAAAAACACAGUCCACGGAUCUUUAUAUAUAUGUUCGACAAAAAUGAAAUCUUUCGACCAUUCAUUCUGCUAUUUCAUCUACAACUGUCAAUAGGGAAAGAUACACAAAACGAGUGUCAGUCUCCUAUUCUUUUGUGGUUCCAGAUGUGGGGUUAUACAGUAAACAAUCAUGCAUAUGUAACCUCUUCGUGAAAAAAAAAAUUCUGAUCAAUUAUAGUUACUAGCAAAACCAAUGCUAAAAUAUACUUGAAACGUUUCCUUUGUCUUUCUUUCUAAAUUAGAGUGGUACAACCUAUUUCCACCUAUCUUCUCAGGCAAGGUGUUAAACGCCAGUUUUUACUCCUUCCUCACCUCUGGGUCAGCUCAUCGAGGUACACGCUAUCUGGUUGGUGGGAUGGAGCAGGUGUUUUUCGCCAAAACCACCGAAUCAGCGAAUCAGCAACACUGUCACUGAAUGGUGGCGCCGGAAAAGAGCUAGCUUCAAAAUGGCUGCCGCUGUAAUAAACGCUGUGAUUGUUUCUGAGAUUUUAGCAGCUCCAAACUCUUCCAAGAUGUUGCAAACAAUCUAUCCCAAAUUUAUAAAAUCACUGUGGUCUACCCGUGCCAGGGAUCGAAUUACUACGAACAAUAAUGUCGACAUUGUGGACGUCGCUGUUCACAUUGUACGCGACUUGGCGACUGUAGGAUGCUGUGGACGCAUAUCGAGUCUUGGUUUCAGAGUAAGAGUAUUCAAAGAUGGAUGCCAGUAGCAUGGGAAACCACAGAUUCAAAUGGAACAUCACCAUGCAUAAAUACUGAGUUCGUGAAAGUGAUAGAAAGGGGAUACAGAAUCAGUCUACAUACAUAUUUUGAAAGAUAAAAACAUCUACAAAUUUAUCAAGACAGUGCUUAUCCUUGGGAAAACUGCACCAAGUUUGGCAGUGACAAGGCAAAUGUACUGACUGAACCUGAGAAAGGUGUCCAUUCUUUCAUGCCGAAGAAGAACCUGCAUCAGUGUAGCUGUACCUUUCACCUUUUAUAUAUUGCAGUAGAAAAGUAAAUAAUGAAGAUGAAGGCCUAAGUGAAGCUGUAGCACUUGUGGGAAAUUACCUUCUGAGAAAAGCAGAGCAGUAUUUUCUUGAUCCUUGUUCUUGGACACCAUGUGUAUCUGCUAUGCAAAACAUGAGCUUCAAAGGCAAGUAAGGAAAACACCAAAAGCUCUUCUGCAAACAAGGCAAGGAGUCACUCUGUACCUUCUCUUGCACUGAAGACUGCCUGACAUCUAAGGACUUUGCUUUUGCAUAAAAUGUUCAGGUCACAAAUUAUUUCACACCUGCUGCUAAAUUUCAUGCUGAAUAUUUUGUACUAAGAAGAAAGCUGUGUGUGGACUAAAGUUUACGUGUUCUUAUGAAAUAGAAGUUUGCUUGUGGAGCUUCAUUGUGAAUAUGUGUUCGCCGCUGUGGUAUUCAGUUUUCUUAAUUAUGGAGUUUCAUUGGAUAUCUCAUCGAUUACCAUCCAGUUAUCUUCACAGUGGAGUUUUUUUUUAUUCUGGAUAUGUCUUCACCUGUGCAGCAUUCAGUUGUCUUUAACGAGGAAGUUUUGUUUUCUUGGAUAUUCAUUCACAUGUGUAAUAUUUAUUUUUCUUAUUUUGGAUGAAUUCAUUAUUUACAACCAUUUCUAGUCAAUGGAAUAUGCGUCAAGACUGUAUAUCCUUCAGUUUUUGAAAAGGAGUAAAAAAUCCUAGCAUUUGUGCCACAGAAAAUUGAGUGAAAUGGUGUACUUGUCGCAUGGAAUAAUUUAGCUGCAGUGUCACCUCCAUGGUUCGUCUUUAUUGCCAUCAGGAAGAGAUUGAAGGUAAUGGCCAAUUCUUUGUUCUUAAUUUGAAUUUUAAAAUUUGUUAUUACAAUUUUUUUAUAUAUAAUAUGGUAUAUCUCAUAGGUUAAUGAAACUGCUUCAGCCAGCUAAUUAAAAAUGACUCCCCGUCCUUUGAAAUCAAGCCGUCAUGUGUAACAAGUGGAGCUUAGAAAGUUCAUGAAAUUUUUAUUUCAGAUUUUUUUCAAGGAUAAUUAGUAAUCGUUUCCUUUUGGACUAAUGUUUGUUAUUAAAUAAAUGUUUUAACCUAUACAGGAAAACUGGAGACACAAAAAUGCAUCUGACACAAUGGUAGGCCAUUUUAAAAUUCUAAAAUUCUUUUGAUAUUUUCUAUAAAAGGUUGAGGAAUAGGACAUGAUUAGUUCCCUUUCACCUUCAGAGGACUAAAAUAGUGACUGCAUUAAUUAGGUUAUGUGACAUAUCAAGUAAAACAUCAAUGAAGAAGAUGAAAAUAACCAGCAAAAUAAAAACAAUAGUGAAAUGUGAAGUUCAUUUUAAUAAUAAUAAUGCAUGUUUUUCCUUGCCAGGGAGCUCCAUGCGCCUUUUUAAAAAAGUAUUUUACUUUACUAAUACAGUACCACAAAUGCAUAAAUAAAAGAAGCAUCAAACUUAAAUUUCAUUUGUGGCUAACUUCAGUUUUCAAAUUAUGCUAAGCCAGAUGGUAUGAUGUCCUUUUCCUAUUGAUCAAAGAGGAGUAAUAAUAACUUGCCAUAGUGUCAGUUGUGUGAAUAGUAAGCACAGAAAUUGACAACUUCAAAACUUUUCCGUACAUUUUUUUAAAAAGUCUAUUGCUUUGAAGUACUUCCCAUUAAUAUUAUUUAUAUGAGAUUUUAAUUAUUAGUAGAUCUGUGUUUCUUGCAUUUAUUUUUCGUGUCUAUUUAAAAUCAAAUGCAGGUAUUACCAAAGAUUAUUCCUUAACAUCAGUACCUUUGUAAAUACUCAAAUAUGUGUGUCCAGUUCUUGCUCGAUUCCACAACAUUUUUUCCCAUGUUUUUUGUUUACAUUUAUACUUCCUGUGUAUGUGUUGUAGUUUAAGGGAGGGCUUCUUACUAGUAAGCUUUAAGUAUAACUUAAAAAAAUCACAUUGUGAUCUUUUAAAGUAAUAAAAUAUUGAUAGAAAAAUG
RNAcentral lists this unclassified non-coding RNA (3891 nucleotides) under Pomacea canaliculata. RNAcentral describes it as "uncharacterized LOC112567849, transcript variant X6". The record is from RNAcentral. Lineage: Eukaryota; Metazoa; Mollusca; Gastropoda; Architaenioglossa; Ampullariidae.